RNAcentral lists this small RNA (127 nucleotides) under Marmota monax (woodchuck). Lineage: Eukaryota; Metazoa; Chordata; Mammalia; Rodentia; Sciuridae. The record is from RNAcentral.
GCCGGAUGUAAUGGCGCAUGCCUGUAAUCCCAGCAACUCGGGAGGCUGAGGCAGGAGGAUCACAAGUUCAAAGCCAGCCUCAGCAACUUAGCAAGUCUCUAAGCAACUCAGUGAGACUCUGUCUCUA